Chrysolophus pictus (golden pheasant) is the source of this 84-nucleotide small nucleolar RNA. The record is from Ensembl. NCBI's taxonomy places the organism in Eukaryota, Metazoa, Chordata, Aves, Galliformes, Phasianidae.
AGGCUGUGUAUGAUGACAACAUAGUUCAGCAGAUAACUUGUGAUGAUCACUCUACUGGUCUUUCGCUCCUAUCUGAUGCAGCCU